ACGAAGAUGGCGAAAUUGGUAGACGCACUAGCUUCAGGUGUUAGCGCCUGAAAAGGCGUGAGGGUUCAAGUCCCUCUCUUCGUACCA
This 87-nucleotide transfer RNA is filed under the name Candidatus Erwinia haradaeae. RNAcentral describes it as "transfer RNA Leucine". It matches the Rfam family "tRNA". From Rfam's summary of the family: Transfer RNA (tRNA) molecules are approximately 80 nucleotides in length. The record is from RNAcentral. Lineage: Bacteria; Pseudomonadati; Pseudomonadota; Gammaproteobacteria; Enterobacterales; Erwiniaceae.